GGAUAGAGGCCUACCAUGGUUUUAACGGGUAACGGGGAAUUAGGGUUCGAUUCCGGAGAGGGAGCCUGAGAAACGGCUACCACAUCCAAGGAAGGCAGCAGGCGCGCAAAUUACCCAAUCCCGACACGGGGAGGUAGUGACAAUAAAUAACAAUACAGGGCUCUUACGGGUCUUGUAAUUGGAAUGAGUACAAUUUAAAUCCCUUAACGAGGAACAAUUGGAGGGCAAGUCUGGUGCCAGCAGCCGCGGUAAUUCCAGCUCCAAUAGCGUAUAUUAAAGUUGUUGCAGUUAAAAAGCUCGUAGUUGAAUUUCGGGGUUCUACCGUUGGUCGGGCUAACCAGUCUGUACUAGCGUGUAGAAUUCCUACCUUCUGGGGAACCAUCAUGUUAUUAAUUUAGCGUGGUGGGAAACCAGGACCUUUACCUUGAAAAAAUUAGAGUGUUCAAAGCAGGCUUACGUCUGAAUACAUUAGCAUGGAAUAAUAGAAUAGGACGGUGGUCCUGUUUUGUUGGUUUCUGAAUCACCGUAAUGAUUAAUAGGGAUAGUUGGGGGCAUUAGUAUUCAAUUGUCAGAGGUGAAAUUCUUGGAUUUAUUGAAGACUAACUUCUGCGAAAGCAUUUGCCAAGGAUGUUUUCAUUAAUCAAGAACGAAAGUUAGGGGAUCGAAGACGAUCAGAUACCGUCGUAGUCUUAACCAUAAACUAUGCCGACUAGGGAUCGGACGAUGUUAA
Molecule: ribosomal RNA, 730 nt
Filed under: Scutellospora sp.
Lineage: Eukaryota; Fungi; Glomeromycota; Glomeromycetes; Diversisporales; Gigasporaceae
Description: SSU rRNA
Rfam family: Eukaryotic small subunit ribosomal RNA
Source: RNAcentral